This is a non-coding RNA of Benincasa hispida (wax gourd), 4162 nucleotides long. NCBI's taxonomy places the organism in Eukaryota, Viridiplantae, Streptophyta, Magnoliopsida, Cucurbitales, Cucurbitaceae. The record is from RefSeq and is a predicted model, not a curated record.
GGUCUAUGAGUGGUUCGACCAUAGUGCUAAAUUUAAUUUAAUUUUUAAUUUUUUUCUGUUCCCACAUCCCCGAUUUCAAGGAAGAAAAGCGAUUUUGUUUCCCACCAAGUUUCGCCGAAAAGGCAUGCAUCCGCGCGCUUAAAUAUAGUUCGGAGGGAACUUGCAAAGACAAAGAGGCGCGAAACACGUCCCUCGAAAAGAGCUCUCCAUAUUUAGAAACUUAUCAGUUCUCGCCAGCGCGGUUUCUCUCCGUCUCUCUGGUUAUCUCAUCGCCGAACUCUCGGAGCUUCGUCGAUGUUUACUUCGGAUUCUUAUGAUUUAAGCCGGAUCAUUCACAGGAAACAUUGAACAUAAAAAAUGUACGGAUUGCUGGAUAUCUUUUUGGAGAUUUUUUCUCCCUCGUUUAAUUAAUGUGCAUUAUGUGCUUCAUCUAUGGUCCGGCUCCUGGGAGCUAGUGUGCCUACCUUGUCUUAACAGUGGAUCUACUUCGAUGACAUUUUUUACACUGCAAUAGAUUUGACUGAACAUUAAGAAUACGUAUGGGUUUACCGUGUCAUGAUCCAAUACAAGAUUGCCAUCUGGGAUGUAAGCUUGAAGGAUACUGAAUGUAUCUGAACUCAGAAGUCAGUUGACCUUUUCUCCAACUUGCAGCUCUCGGUGGUAAACUAGAUCCUGUCUCAUUUGUGAGAUGGAACUUUCAACUUUUGACCUUUCAUAUACAGAGUGAGUAAGCACAAAAAAAGUUAGAACUUACUGGAAGAACAUGUAGACGCAGGGAAGAUUGAAGAAUGUGCUCUGUUUCGAGCAUGAAUUGAGAAUAAUCAUAAGAAUAUCAAUAGGGUAGAGACUACAUCUCACUUAUGGAUUCUAAAAUUUCAAUUUGGUGAUUUUUUCCUCUGCCGCUUGGCUAACAUGAAGUGAUUGCAUUUCACGGUAGACCAAGAAUAAUUAAAAAUCUAGAACAAUAGGUUAGUUGAAAAUCUUCUUUAGCAGUCAGUUAUCCUUUCUGUUGCUCUUGCCCUUACCUUCUGCCUUUUGCAUAAAAAGUUGGCUAUUCUGUAUUUCCAUUUUUCAUCUUGGCUAGCUUGCUUGCUGGGAAGUGCAGUCUAGCAAUCAGAGGUCGGGGUGCUCGGGUUUUCUGAUCAAAUCCUCUUACACAAACAAACCCUGCAAUAUUACUCAAAAUUCAGGUCCGGAUGAUCAGAAGCUUGGUACAUCAGGGAAUGAAUACCAAUUAUCAAGGUGAUGGAAUGAAUUCCUUUGGAUGUUUCUUCUAAAUAAUGAUACCAAUUAGCAUGUAGACAAGAUCAUGUUACGAGGGCCAGAUAAAGAAACUCAUUGGUUGGUGCGGUGUGCGGAAGUCCUAUCUCUGGUGUCCUAGAUCUCAUUGGAUUUCUUAAUUUAUGAAAACUCUCAGCUGUGAUUUCUCUUUAUUUAGGAACAUUCCGGUAAAAUGAAAAGCAGAGGCAAGGAAAUACUCAAAUCGGAGGGAGUUACAUAAAGACAUCUGCAAUUUGCACAAAUGGAGCAGCAUCGACCAUUUAUCUACCAUAUUUACUGGAAGUUAUUUGGACCCGUAAAUAAGAUUACACCAAACAACAUGCUUGGUAAAGAUCAUCUUUACAAGGUAGACCUUGGCCUCUUUUGUUAUAUCAAAGAAUUCUCAAAAUUAAAAAAAAAAAAAAGAAACGGUCAUAACUACUAGUUUUUAUUUAUUAUUUAUUUUCUAUCAAAAUUUACUUUUUUUAUAAAAAAAAAUUGAACCAUAAAAGAGUUAAUAUAUGUUUUCUAAGUCCAAAAAGAAAAAAAAAAGGGAUAAAAAAUCCCCAUUAAAUUUUGUUGACAUGCUUCAGCGGGUCUUUCCGACGGUAUCUGUGAAUACCGUUCAAGCCUCCCAUUUACUUUGAAGCAGAUUUAAUUUGCAUCAUAGAAAAAAUAAAAACAAAAAUUAAAGCUCUUUAUUUCGGGGAAGUUAACCUUGUUGAUUAUAAGGUUAAUUGGUCUUAGUUACUAAAAUAAAAACUAGUUAAUCUAUUUUAUUAUUUUUUAUAUAUGUAUAUAUUAAUAGUUGGCUCUCUAUAGAUUCUUCGUGGAAGUUUGCGGUAUGUUUUAGAUAAUAUUGUUAAAAUCAGGGUGGAUUGGAAGCUUAAGCCUGGUGAAACAUUGAUAGCAUCCUUUUGUACAGUAAGCUUGAAUUGAGGUAAGGUAAUGUAUAUGUUUCACCUUAAUUACGUUUCUCUAAAAUUAAAAUGAACUAAAUGAAGAAAUGUUUGUCUUUGUACAUAUAUACAAAAGAUGGGGUUUUCUGCAUAAUUUUAAAAGACCAUCAAGCAUGGUGGCUAAAGCAAAGCUAUCAGGGGUGGAAAUCAGAACUGUUUGUGGAACUGGUUGGGUGUGUUUUUUUAUAAUUUAUUUUCUUAAAACAGUUUUGUAAACUGAUUUAUUGAAGAAUGAUUUUCUUAAUCUAUUUCUUAAUAUUUUCUAAAGAAUUAUUUAUUUAAUAAAUAUUUAAUGUGUGGAUCUCACAUAAUUCUUAAAGCUCUUUAUGUAGAAAGCAAUAAAUAUUCCACAAUAAAUAGUAGUAUAGAAAAUUUUUUAUACUAUCAUUGUAUUUAAAGUUUCCACGUGUACACAUUCAUGUCAAGCCAUCUUUGUUGAAACUUGAAUCAUGAAUAGACAGAAAUAUUAGUAAAUCAUGACAUGAUAGUUUUUAUAAAGAAAAUUUUUAAUAUGAUUUUUUAAUUUUAAUAAAUUAUUUCAAUGAUAUACAUACAUUAUAUAUAUAUAAUGUAUGUAUAUAAAUUUACUUGAAAGUAAUUUUUGAAACAAAAUAAUUGAAAUUUCCAUAUGUUUUAUGAGUUAGAGUUGUAAGUAGAAUUAUUAAUUGUUAUUUUGAUUUUCUUAUAAAAAAAUUUAUGAUUAGUUUUGUUACCUUUUGAUAACAUGAUAUAUUUUUAAAAUCAACAUUUAAAUCAUAGCUUGAUAUUUUGAAACUAAAAACACUUUUUUCGAGAAAGCUAAAAAUUUUUAACAAAAGAGUGCAAACUAUACAAAACGUUGGUAAGAGUUUUUACCAAACUAUUUCUUUUUAUAAAAUGAAAAAAUCAAAGCUAGAAGUGUUAAUCUUUAAGAUUCUCUUUUCGUUUUUUGUUUUAAAGUUUAUUUAAAUUUUGAAAACUGAAAGUGAAACUAAACAAAAGGUGUAACCCAUUUUAAAAAAAUUGUAAAAUAAGAUUUAGAAAAUGUCAAAAUGAAGUGGGAGGGGGCAAGGCUUACCAAAAUCGACCUUGUUGAUAAUCGCAAUGGGAAAGUAUCUUGGCCAAAGCUCGAGUGAAAAAUAUAUAUACAAGUUACAUGCUAUAUAAUAUACACGAAAGGAAAAAAAAUGUUCAUUUUUCAUCAAAAAAAAAAAAAAAAAAACAGGAGCUAAAAUAAUUAGGUCGAAAUGAGUAAAAACACAUUUUUGUCAAAUAGUUCUUAUAGUAUUGUAUAAUAAAGGACUAGAUGUAGAUCGAAAUCAUGGGUAUAUAAUAUCUACGCAAAUGACGACCAAAUUUUCUGUUUAGAAAUAAAGUUAACAAAUACUUAUUUUUAUUUUAAUAGUAUAUACCAACCUAUUUUUUGGGUAAAAAUAUUGACCUAAAAAGGGAAAAGGAAAGAAUUAUCGGUGACAAUUGCAAUCUGUCUGUAAACUUUUUUGUGAACCAAGUCUUGCGGUUGUUUACAAUUACUAAUUUUAAAAUGUAUGAAAAUAAAUAAACAUUAUAAAUUCAAAUUUUAAAUUUUGAAUAAAUGGCUGUAUCAUCACGAAUGAUUGAAGCUGUGCCCAUUUCAGGGGUGUUUCAUUAAGCCAAGUUUUGAAAACUAAAAUUUUAAAACCUACUUUGUAAAUUUUGAGAAAACAUGUACAAUUUUCAAAAAAAUUUAAAUGAAAUGCAGAGCAAAUAUAGAUUAUUUCAGGCCAAUGCAUGGGUAUGGUGAUAAAAUUUUGCUAGUUAACGGUCUAUAUUGGGGACGUAUUGCACACAGCUUUUAUAUUAAGUUAAAGGGCCCAGUUACUUUGGUGGAUUUUCUGUUUUAAUAUCUCACUGGGUUAAAAAAUUUUGGCGACCGCAACGUAGAACCCUAUGCAAGAAAAUUUGGUAAAUGAAGGAAAUACAUA